This 213-nucleotide long non-coding RNA is filed under the name Nicotiana benthamiana. RNAcentral describes it as "long non-coding RNA (NBEN_LNC000440)". The record is from RNAcentral. Lineage: Eukaryota; Viridiplantae; Streptophyta; Magnoliopsida; Solanales; Solanaceae.
UAAACGGGUGAUUUUUUCCUGAGUUGGGACGGGACUGCUUAACACUGGUUCUGAUUGAGUAGUGAGAAAUGUUCGAUGAAUGCGGCUGCUGAAAUAGACCGAGAGUUUACAGGCUUUGUGCAUGUGGCUAUUCAAUUCAGGAAGAAAUUAAAUAAUUGAGAUGAUAAAUAGUAAAUGUAGAAAGAGAUGAAGAAAGAAUCAAAUGGUGAGCAA